CAUGCAAGUCGAGGGGUAUAGGUUUUCGGACCUAGAGACCGGCGCACGGGUGCGUAACGCGUAUGCAAUCUACCUUUCACAGAGGGAUAGCCCAGAGAAAUUUGGAUUAAUACCUCAUAGUAUUAUAGAGUGGCAUCACUUUAUAAUUAAAGUCACAACGGUGAAAGAUGAGCAUGCGUCCCAUUAGCUAGAUGGUAAGGUAACGGCUUACCAUGGCUACGAUGGGUAGGGGUCCUGAGAGGGAGAUCCCCCACACUGGUACUGAGACACGGACCAGACUCCUACGGGAGGCAGCAGUGAGGAAUAUUGGACAAUGGGCGCAAGCCUGAUCCAGCCAUGCCGCGUGCAGGAUGACGGUCCUAUGGAUUGUAAACUGCUUUUGCACAGGAAGAAACAACGCUACGUGUAGCGUCUUGACGGUACUGUGAGAAUAAGGAUCGGCUAACUCCGUGCCAGCAGCCGCGGUAAUACGGAGGAUCCAAGCGUUAUCCGGAAUCAUUGGGUUUAAAGGGUCCGUAGGCGGUUUAGUAAGUCAGUGGUGAAAGCCCAUCGCUCAACGGUGGAACGGCCAUUGAUACUGCUAGACUUGAAUUAUUAGGAAGUAACUAGAAUAUGUAGUGUAGCGGUGAAAUGCUUAGAGAUUACAUGGAAUACCAAUUGCGAAGGCAGGUUACUACUAAUGGAUUGACGCUGAUGGACGAAAGCGUGGGUAGCGAACAGGAUUAGAUACCCUGGUAGUCCACGCCGUAAACGAUGGAUACUAGCUGUUGGGCGCAAGUUCAGUGGCUAAGCGAAAGUGAUAAGUAUCCCACCUGGGGAGUACGUUCGCAAGAAUGAAACUCAAAGGAAUUGACGGGGGCCCGCACAAGCGGUGGAGCAUGUGGUUUAAUUCGAUGAUACGCGAGGAACCUUA
RNAcentral lists this ribosomal RNA (913 nucleotides) under uncultured Flavobacteriaceae bacterium. RNAcentral describes it as "bacterial SSU rRNA". It matches the Rfam family "Bacterial small subunit ribosomal RNA", at positions 54 to 973 of the family's 1533-position model. The record is from RNAcentral. Lineage: Bacteria; Pseudomonadati; Bacteroidota; Flavobacteriia; Flavobacteriales; Flavobacteriaceae.